Molecule: ribosomal RNA, 253 nt
Filed under: uncultured bacterium
Lineage: Bacteria
Description: partial 16S ribosomal RNA
Rfam family: Bacterial small subunit ribosomal RNA
Source: RNAcentral
UACGAAGGGGGCUAGCGUUGCUCGGAAUUACUGGGCGUAAAGGGCGCGUAGGCGGCUCUGUUAGUCAGGCGUGAAAGUCCUGGGCUCAACCUGGGAACUGCGCUUGAUACGGCAGAGCUAGAGGAUGGAAGAGGGUCGCGGAAUUCCCAGUGUAGAGGUGAAAUUCGUAGAUAUUGGGAAGAACACCGGUGGCGAAGGCGGCGACCUGGUCCAUUACUGACGCUGAGGCGCGACAGCGUGGGGAGCAAACAGG